RNAcentral lists this long non-coding RNA (1969 nucleotides) under Zea mays. RNAcentral's name for it is "long non-coding RNA (ZMAY_LNC000402)". Lineage: Eukaryota; Viridiplantae; Streptophyta; Magnoliopsida; Poales; Poaceae. The record is from RNAcentral.
GAAUAAAUUCCUGCAUUAGGAGCCAGUAUAAGGUUCUGAACACACCUGAUUGCUUUCAAUGCCAUGCCACAGUGAAUUAAAUGUUCUCAAAAUUUUAUCAAGCAAAUACCAUUGUGUCGUUUCUACUAUGUUCAUCUUUUAGGAAUAAUCAUACAAUACUGGUACCUUACAAGCUCAUCACAAUCUAAAUUGAUAGAACAAACUGCUGAAACUAUCUCUGCAUAAAAAAGAAGUUUUUGACCUGCACAUCAUCUCUUUGCUGUUGAUGCAAGAUAUUGACAGGAAGACUUUAGAAAUUUUAUUUCAGGUAAAGAAGAUCUAGGAAGGAAGCAAAUCUUAUGGCUUCUAAGCCAACUGUAGUUGAUUGCAUUUUCUUCACAUAUCAUUGAUAAAAGCAUGUAGCCUUGACUGAUAGAAUGGAAAGGAGGUGAGCCCCUGUGUGCCCAUCACAAGAUGCCAGCUAUCUGAUCAACUAGGUGAACGGUGGUCACACAUAGCCAGAUUUUAGGAGCACCAUGUCCAGCUGGUAGUGGGGCACAACAGUGAGGAGCAUGACACACAUAUGCCCACACCAAGCAAACUUGCUACAUUAGUCCCGGCAGAUGCAUUCACCAUUGGAACAUAUUCUGUUGUCACGUUGCCUUUUCAAGGAGUUCUUUUAUUCUGCAAUAUAUUUGCAAAUUGAUUUAGUUGUCGUGUGUACCCACAUUACCCUGCAGUUUCUGCCUUUUUAUUCUGCAUUCACCAUUGCUGUCCUACCCCCACCCCACCCCCAGCGGAACUUUUGUGUUCCUACUUUAUGCCGUUCUUGUAAAUUGUAAACAUUUCUAAAGCCUUUCUAUAUUGAUACAGGCUGGGCAGAAAUCCUGGCGGCAGUGUGGGGAGAAAAGAUGUGCAAGUGGAGUGGAGAGGUCCAACAAGGUAGAAUGGACUAAGGGAGGAAUUCUUCUCUUGGAGUGGGGGUUAAAGUGGCUUAUCUUAACAUGCAUCCGAUCCUCUCUCUCUGGGGUUUGUGAUAACAAGAUUCAAAGGAUGAUGCCUCGUCAAUAGGGUUCCUGUUUUUCUCCUUAUCAUCCAUGAAACCUUGCCCCCACCCACCCACCCAAAAAAAAAAAAUGGAAGGCUCUCUUGUGGGGUUGCUAAAUAAUUUGGUUUGGUGUUCUGGUCUGUUUUCGGCUAGACACAUUGAUGUCAUAAUCGAAACGCACAUGAAGGCUGGCAGCAGCUUGUGAUCUGAAUCCAAGUCCAUUGUUCACUUUGUGGCCCCGGAAGAGCCAGAAUGAAAACUUGACUGUGCAUGCACAUACAUGUAGCGGGUAAAACCUCCCUUGUCGUGACCUGUGUGAGUUUUGCCAUAUGACUUGCAAACAGUAAAAUGAUUGUGCAUAUGCUGGACCAUGAUUCAUAUAUAUGGCAAGAGGAUGAAAAAUCAUUCGCUUGCAGAAAUGGACCAACAUAUGGCCCUGAGAGAGAUUAACCUGUUUCGGUUUUAUUGUGCACUCACCGAAGGUCAUUUGCAUCCCGACAAACGUGUGGUAAUGUUGAGGCUCCUCUUUCUGCCUCUCUGACACAACGCGUAGAUGAUGGUUUGCCAGGAUCAUGUUGUCUGCAUGGGAGAGAAAAAAGAGUGUUCAUGUAGCCUGAUGCCGUGUUAAUAUUUACAGUUUUCAUGUUUGACAUUUAUUUGCACGUGUACGGUACCUUCUCUUUCUCAAGAAAUUCAAGUACCAUCCAUCAGACGACUGUGGCCUGGCCGUUCUCAGCAAGCUAGCGUACGUGUGGUCUAACAAUACCCGAUGGAAGAAGUUGCUCCCGUGUCGGCAUGGAACCAACAAGGCUGGGCGGGGCCCCAUCCUCUUCUUGCGUCGAUCCGUAACAUGUAGCAGAAGAUGGUUGUAACAGGAAUGUGUAGCUAGCAGAGCUUGCAGCUGCCGAAGGCGGUAACAGGAAUGUCAUGUCGCACGUACAG